UUAAGGAAUUGACGGGGCCGCACAGCGUGGGCAUGUGGUUAAUUCGAAGCAACGCGAAGAACCUUACCAGGUCUUGACAUCCCUGACAACCCGAGAGAUCGGGCGUUCCCCUUCGGGGGACAGGGUGACAGGUGGUGCAUGGUUGUCGUCAGCUCGUGUCGUGAGAUGUUGGGUUAAGUCCCCGGCAACGAGCGCAACCCUCGACCUUAGUUGCCAGCAUUCAGUUGGGCACUCUAAGGUGACUGCCGGCUAAAGGUCGGAGGAAGUGGGGAUGACGUCAAAUCAUCAUGCCCCUUAUGACCUGGGCUACACACGUGCUACAAUGGGCGGUACAAAGGGUCGCGAACCCGCGAGGGGGAGCCAAUCCCAAAAAGCCGCUCUCAGUUCGGAUUGCAGGCUGCAACUCGCCUGCAUGAAGCCGGAAUCGCUAGUAAUCGCGGAUCAGCAUGCCGCGGUCGAAUACGUUCCGGGCCUU
RNAcentral lists this ribosomal RNA (475 nucleotides) under uncultured Anoxybacillus sp. RNAcentral describes it as "bacterial SSU rRNA". It matches the Rfam family "Bacterial small subunit ribosomal RNA", at positions 904 to 1382 of the family's 1533-position model. Lineage: Bacteria; Bacillati; Bacillota; Bacilli; Caryophanales; Anoxybacillaceae. The record is from RNAcentral.